AGUGGGCUGUUCUGACGAUAGCAAGGACAGCUCGAACGAAUAUUUUAUUAAAAAUGAAGUUACAGGGUUUUACGUGCCGAAACCACACGAUCUGAUUAUGAGGCACGCCGUAGCGGCAAACUCUGGAAAUUUGGACCAACUGGGGUUCUUUAACGUGCACCUAAAUCUAAGCCCACGGGUGUUUUCGCAUUUCGCCCCCAUUGAAAUCCGGCCGCCACGGCUGGGAUUCAAUCCCGCGACCUCCUGCUUAGCAGACCCACACUGUAGCCACUAAGCAGUCACAGCGGGUGAAUCCGUGUGAAUCCAGAGCCAACCUGGACGGUACGUUAUGGGAAUGCCGAGUUAUAUAUAACAAUAACGAGAACGCGGCCUCUAUAGCAACAGCCUUCGCACGCGCUGGGAACCCGCGCUACUAAGCGCCGCCCUCGAGGAUCAACUACGGGCCGUCCGGCGGGCCGAGGAUGCCGCCAGGACCCACGAACUCCUGGCCGUCACCUAGGCGGGGCCUUUGGCCCUCCCCACAAACUCGCAGGGCACGCAAUAAAGUUAUUCCCUCCUCUUCCUCCUCCUCCUCCUCGGGCGCGUUAUUCCGGCGUCGCAUGCCGGCGAGGAAUUACGACAGCGACCACGUUUCUUGAGCUCAGAACAGGAGACGACGUGAAACGGUGGCCACGGCAACCCGAUUCGAUCGUGCGGCUGAGUGUUUGCGAGGCCACACGUUGGCCGCUGAAGGCACAGGCGUGGGACCGCUGCACCAGUGCACCAGAUGUCGUAGCAUGCCGCGCUUUCUUCUGGUUCGGUUCCCUCCUUUUAGUGCAAUUAGAUCCGAUCCAAUCCGGGAUGAUGCAAGACUAUAGCUAAAGAAGUUUUACUUAUUCAAGGCCUAUCUCUGCUUUCUCACCGCCUUCGCUCUGUAGUAUCAACAACGUACGAGUGCCUGGUGCCAGGCGCCGGAAGGUGCCGAGAUAUUGCACCCGUAUAUCAUUGGAGUGGAGUGGGUGGGGGGAUGCUUGCGAUUGCAAGACCACGUUAAUGCAGCGAACGCGCUGUGCGUAAGUCAGAACACCACAGCAAACCCUAUGAGUGCAACGAACUGUUUCUACACUCGUGCUGCGCUUGCCUCGCACGCCUAUGCAUCCUUCACGAUGGGGAGACGCUAGGUGGCGUCGACCAGUCAAGACGCCUUCGCAUCGAGCUCCGACAAUCUCAUGCGUUUCAUCGGUUUUUCCUGCUACCAGCCUAUCGACAACUAUAUCCUCGGACGGUGCUUCGCUCAAGGAACGGCUGGAUGUCCUGCCCUCCACAAGUGAGCCCAUCUUUUGGAUUUUACGAGGGUUUUUUAUCCGACCACGUCGCUACGCCUAACGCCGGAGCUGAGACGCAACCCUGGAACCUACCCCCGCUCCCGUCGACGCCAGCCUCGCGCCACCGCGCGCGGUUGCGUGCCGGGAGGUGUCGGGUGCCGUAGACGCCAACGUGCAAUCGGAGGCGCCUCGCUCACUUAGAAUGGACGUUACCCCGCCUGCCGCCACAACCGAGCCAGCCAAUGUAAUGGACACUCAGCAAACCGAGAACGCUGCUGAAGACGGCUGGACAACAGUUCAAUACAAGAAGAAGAAUCUUACCGCCCCCCUGCACCCUGCUGCGCUCCACACAGUCGUAAUUCGACCUCAGAGUGAUGUGCACCUCCCUCAGCACAAAUUGCACCACAUCUCACAGGCCGUGCGGCAACAAGCCCCCCUCAGCCCACACGAAGCCCUGGAUCUCUCACUGCAAAUUAAGCCACGAAGCAAUAUAAUCGUUAUCAAGACCCCAAGUUCAAUAGCAGCGGAGAAAAUAGCUUCCAUGUCUCAACUGACACUUGGACCAACCACGCACACUGUCACAGCAUACAUAACCGCGCCAGCCAACUCCUGCAGAGGGGUUAUCCAUGGAGUUGACGCCGGCACAUCUUCGGAGCACCUGAUGCAGAACUUGGACACUUUUGGACCCACCAUACUAGCCUCCCGGAUGAUGGGCCGUACAGAGACUGCUAUUAUUACAUUUGAGGGAAGCAUUGUCCCCAGGAAAGUCCUCUAUCAUCGAGCUAUGUUCCGAUGUUUGCCACACCACCCCAAAGCAGAGUUCUGUUCCUUAUGCCUGAUGUACGAUCAUCGUGCUGACAACUGCCCCACCAAAUCAACUAUCUUCAGGUGUCCUGACUGCACGAGACAACUCAAGCAGGCAGGAGAGGAACACCAAUGCUUUCUCCUCUGCCUGCACUGCGGUAGCGAUCAUAGGACCAACGACCCCAGCUGCCAAAUUAAAAGACAAAAAGACCAAAACAAGACAGAACGAGCCUACUUGCAACGCAUCAAACUGCGCAACGAGCAACAGCCUACACUUGGUUCCAGCGCCCCCAACACCGCAACAUCAACUGAUUACCAUCGCGAAUACCCUGCACUAUUAUCGCACGGACAGCAACAGCAAACAACGCAGACGCAACAGCCCCAGAAGAAGCAACAAGACAUGCUACCUAACACACCGCGGUCACAGCCGACGACUUCUGCAAGCGCUACACCGAACGUGCAACAACCGGCCUCGAGCAAAAGCCCUGCGCGCACCCCACAGUCUGGGAGAACCAUCAUACCCAAGGCGCCUGGUAAGCCAAGCACUCCUAUCAUCCCGCAAUCCCCAUCCUUCAAGACCUUAACAUCACAAGCACAUUCUCCUACUCCAAUUUACGAAGCACCACAAUAUCAGCAACACGUCCUACACGCGCAUUCCCACAAGGCACAUUCAACGCUAGAGUCUCGUCUAAACAAAUCAGAGACCCUGUUAGAACGCUUUGAAAGCAUAGAAAAGAAACUUGACCGCCUCACUGAUAUUGUCGAAAAACUUGCCUCAGCCUACGAACGUCACGACACACGCCUAACCCUGCUGGAACAACGAGUAGACCGCAUGCUUAAGCGCCUUCUUCCAGAUGAAGAUCUUAGCUACGAAAACAUGGACCACAUGUCUCAUUCGCAAAAGAGACAACUUCCUGAUGACCCAAUCGACACCUCCAGCACCCAGUCUAAGACCGCAAAGGUCGCUAAUCCAUGGCAGAAGUAAGGGACGGAAACUUUUGCGUUUGGCAGUGGAACUGCCGCGGUCUCAGUAACAAAAAAGCAAUAAUGAGGCAAUACUUCCUAAAAUUGAAAAACCCACCACAUGUGUUACUUCUGCAAGAAACAUACAAAGAACAGAACAUACCAGGAUACACAGCUACACAUUCAGCGCACAAUGAAUACGACCUACCAUUGAUUUCGACGUACGUAAAACAUAACAUUAAACACUACACGGAAAUAGCACCAGACUGUUUAGCAAAGUAUGUCUUAAUAACCACAAUAUACCCGGACAACUCACAACGACCUGCCAAGCUGUGCAACGUCUACAAUCCACCAAAAUCCAUGUACAACCUUAGUCAGAUCUUCAAGCACGCUAAAAAAGAUGAGAAGACACAUGAUAUUUUCAUUAUGGGAGAUUUCAAUGCGCCCAACACAUCAUGGGGAUACAAGGCGAACACGAAAACGGGCAGGUUGCUGGAAGGCAACAUAAACAAAUUUCAGUACACAGUUGUCAACACUCCGGGGGUAACAACUCGCACAGGGGCGCAAAAUCAAGUUCCUACUACACCGGACCUCGCGUUGCACAAAGGUGAAUAUGCUACGAGCUGGGAGAACACCCAUGAAAACCUAACUAGCGACCACGACAUAAUAAACAUCAUUAUACACAUGACGCCUCGAAAGCGCCGCGCUACAGUCACCUUCACAAAUUGGGACAAAUUCCGGAAACUGAGGCAGAAUAACACUGACACAGGGCUUGACUUGGACACGUGGGCUAAAGGCCUCAUAGAAACUAAGACAGCAGUUACAGACACGCACACGACUUCAGCGCCGGCAGACCAGCCCGACCCGCACCUCACACGCGUCUGGAAAAAACGCAAAAAGCUAUUGAGGGUGCGAUCGCGCAAACAGCUCGCUUUUCCGUUCGUUCGGUCUGGCUGCGACGUCACAAAGUAGGCCGUCCGCAAGAUUUGUGAGAACGGGAGGGAGAGCACAGCCAAUAAACGAGCGAGCCCAGCCCCGGAAGUUUGCGUCACCAGUUUGAGCUUCGAUCGGGGACGAUACAUUAAGUGCAGAAUGUUUGCGAUGCUUUAAUAAUUAAACACGUAAUAUAAGAAAAAGAUUCUUACUGUUGCAACAUAUAAUCUGCCUCGGAAAUCUCAUGCGAGAGCAGAAAACUAAUUUAAGCGGCAUAUAUUUUGGUUUAGUCCGCUAGGUGGUAUCGCACACGUCAAAACAAAUUGGCGGGAGCGCGCAGUUCAAUUGCAAAAUCGCUGUUCGUCAGUUGCCAAAAUGUCGUCGCACAAGAAUGUCAAGCUUGGCCCUCACGUGUCGCCACACCAACGUGAACUGUUGGUGGCGUUUAUGGAGGGCCAUCCCUAUCUUGUGCGGGCGUCGUGUGCACUCACACCGGAGUGCACGGUGGAGCGGAGGCGGCAGCUUUGGAGUGAGCUCGCCGCCCUGCUGAACACUGAGGGCCCGGCCGCCAAGACAGCCGAACAGUGGCAGGUCUUUUGGCGGAAAGAAGUAUUUCUUUCCCGCCGAGAUGCCGCCACAGCUUCCGCAAGUCAAAGGUGAGUGCGAGGAGCGGUUCUGUUGCUCGCGAUAUUUACAAUGCUGUCCGUAAUUGCAGCGGCACGGGUGGUGGCCGUCUGCCCGGCCUUCGUGGCCGUAUCAUCGCCCUAGUGGGCACCUCCACGGUGACCGGAGUGUGCGAGGCUUUUUACCAACCACUCGACGAGCCCGCCAUGGAGGUGACCGUGGAAUCUGUGGGCACCACCGCAGGAACCAGUGGCCUUUCACGUGAAGGUAAGCUUUUGCUCUUCCCUGUUGCCUUCCUGUUUGUGGAAUCUGUUUCGUAUAUAAGGAACGCAAACUAUUUCUACUCUAACCGUUGAGUGAAUGUACCCUCUAUAACCAAUAUAGGAGCACUGCAGCAGCCAGGAGUGGGCCCUCCAGCCACUGCACAGCCUGCAGCUGGCCCUGGCGGAGUGCGAACCAGCAAGUGAAAAGGAAAUAUCCUGCAAUGUCACAGCUUGAAUGCACUGGACGUAAUGUAGUUGUGUGUUUAGUUCAUUAAAAAGUGGUACUUUUUCCAGGCUACCAACCCCGGGUGCAGCGCCGGUCGCGAGGCCCUCGUCGGGCGUCCCACCGGGAUGCCUUGGUCGAACGGCUCGCGGAUGACUACGCCAGGACCGUCGCACAGAACGACGAGACAAACGAAGUGCGUGUGCCCUUGCCUGCUUUAUAUGGUGGAGCGUAAUAGAAUGACAGUAGACAGGUGUAACAUUUUUUUAGCAAUUUGAUGAGCUGCACAGGUCACUAACUCACAUACAUGGCUAACACGUGUUUCAAUAGCUGAACUGAAAAAAAAAAGACUAAGGGAGACGGACGAGAACAUCAUCAUACAUUACGUACAUGGUCAUAAACACGGUCACUUGCAAUCAUUAACACAAUGUAACAGCUUCAAACACAGUAAUCACUGCCAUUAGCAUUUCUGCAACAGGCAAUAACUGGGUGGACUAGACAACAGGGACACUUGCAAUCAAUCACACAAUAACAGCUUCACACAUUCCUAUUUCCACUAAAGCUCUUUCUUUUGAGCAGUUUCAUAGACAUGGCAAGUUGCCUGUAAUUAAAUCACUUGUUUUAGAACACUGCCUCAUAUGACUUACUCGUUUCAAACCUUGGCCGCCCACCUUCAAGUAUUACCUAAUGAAUUUUUCCGCAUAUGCUGUAAUUGCACCACACACAUCGGAUUGCGCAUGCUGAUUGUGAUAGUUCUCCCCCAUCACACAAAAAUAUUCAUGUCUGAAACAUUUUUCCCAAGGCAGCGGCGUAAAUUGAGUGGCAUAUGUAAAACACCUAAAAUGCUCUGGGCCCUUCAUCUUCAUAAUUAUUUGCAAAGGCGGCAGCUAACUCGCAGUUCAAAUUUAGCUUGCACAUCGCCGUAAAGUUUCCUUUAUUUUGACGCACUUAGAAACACUAUAGCUUGCAUAGUUCAUUGAGGACGAUGGAGAACACAAACCUCAAUAAACUAUUGAAACAUAAAAAAGGAGAACACUGUUAAUUAAUGAGUUGCAAUGGUUGUAAUUAAGGCAGUAAGAGGAAAACUUUGCCACACAAUACACUCAGGACUGUGGCUAUUUCCACAAAGUUUGAAGUUGCUAACUUGUUCUGGAAGGCUGGGAAACAUCACAUAUAAUGGCAGUGCGACAGCUUGCAAUGCUUGAAUAACAAUUUAUAUACAGGGUCCAAUACAUGCUUUUGCAACAAAAUGCAACAUAGGGCCUAGCAUUCUUUGCUACAGUGAUACAUGUCAAGGUCGCUUGCUCAUUUGCAAUCCCAAACUUAUUGCUAUGCCAUCUGUUAACUUUCCGGCGGCUCGACAGCAUAAAAGUACAUAUGGUAUUGAUAUUUCUUUGCACAACUACAUGAAAACCAACAACAAAAAACAGAUACAAUGGUGCAGACAGACAACAACAUAGAAAGUGUUUGUCCUUGUCCCCAUAACUAAUGAACAUAUGGUAAUCUGAAUGAGCAUACAUGCAGUUGAGCGCCUUUAUACCUAAAGUGCUUGGGACCACCGAAAUCAUCCGUUUUACAGCUCACUUUGUAAACAUUGUGCACAGCACGCCUCACUAGGAACCGACCGAACAU
Dermacentor albipictus is the source of this 6746-nucleotide non-coding RNA. NCBI's taxonomy places the organism in Eukaryota, Metazoa, Arthropoda, Arachnida, Ixodida, Ixodidae. The record is from RefSeq and is a predicted model, not a curated record.